CAGCUUCUUCUUGUUUUCAUCACUCUACCUUAUUUUUGCCCUUUAAUAUGCAGCAUCCAGCUCAUGCUGUGUUGCAGGGAUUUGAUACUGUAUUUCUGACCCUCUCCCAUUACCCAUGGCCACAUAUAACAAUAUACUCUGUAUAAAAUGGUGUUCUGCAAAGUGAGCAAAAUCGGGAAGAUUCUAGAGGGACUUUGAAACUUGGACAAAUGGACCAACAAAGGUGAGUUACUCAUUUAGGGAUGAUUCUCAACAGCUUUUUAGCAUUAUACUGAUAACAGUGAUAUUUUAUUUUCAUAUGGUCUCCUUGAGACUCCCCCGCCCCCCAGCACUCUGCCUUUGAACCUAGUCUGUAGCAGAAUUAUCUACAUAAUAGCAAAACAUGAAAGACCCCAGCCAAGACUCCACACUGUGCCUCUGUGCACACAUUGGUGGUUCCUUAUAGGAGAAAGUGUGUCCUGCCACAACUCUUAUAGGCAGUGGAGAAUAAAAACCUGUGCCUGGCUUCUCUGGUCCCCGUGCUGUAACACCAUAAGGCUAUGAUUCAUAUCCUUAUUUUAAUGCCAUUUCUAUAUUGUAUUAUUUUUCUUCCAAUAACUUUAAAUUUGCAAGCAGGACUUUUAGGUCCUGUGAGAAUUUUUUAACAAUUGAACCCUAUUUAUCUGCCACUGUUAGUGCUUAUGGUAUGUUUACUGAGACAUAGAGAUAUAAUUUAGUAAAGAGGAGUAUGAUUGCAAUAAAUUGAUCAUAGAAAUAUGCUCAAUUAGUGGAAAAUAUCAACUAACCAUUUUACAGGAAAAGCAUUCCCUGUGAAUUGAAAUGUAGACAGAAUAAUUACUUUUCUCUUCUUUACUGUUAAGCUGCAUCAUUGGCCUUUGACUUAGUUUUGUUGAAUGGGAGAUUAGAAUGAUUGAUUGUAAGUGUGCAAUAUCUGCAAACUUUUACUAGAUUUCUUGAUAACAUCACAUUGACAUUCUGUAAAAUGAUAUUUUAUUGACCAACAUACAGCAAUCUCUCUUUCAGAAUAGUAGUUGUCAAACUCCUUUUUAAAGAUAUACUUUUAUCAUAUUUUCAUUGUGCAGUAAGAUCUAUAAUACCAAAUAUUAAAAGAACAUAGACAAAUUGAUCUCCUAGGUACAUUUUCAAAAGACCAAUCAUUUUGAUAAUAUAAAGCAUAGAAUAUGAAUUGUCAAUAAUUUUAUAUUUUGGUCACUUUUAUUUUCUAUUUCAUAAUUAUCGAAUAAAUUAAGUAAAUUAUUAGUAAAUCUGACUAGAUUUUCUUUUUCUUUGUGAUUGUCCCUGAUAAUAGGUGCCUUGUUGUUGCACUAUAAUAAGCCUGGAUAACCAUCAAGGUCUAAAAAUACCAACUUAGGCUCUAUUUUUGGGCCCUUGCAUCUGAAGGCUUUUGUGCACAUGCUGGUGGGUUUUGAACUUACAGAGGAUUUGUGUCCUUACAGACAAGGAUAGUUGGAGCUCCCCACUGACCUUUCAGAGUUCAGACCCUUUGCUGUUGAGUUUACUGUUGGCUGUGCUGCCUUUCCUCACUUUAACGGAGUUGCCUGGUCCUGAAAUAAACUAUAGGUUUGUCAGCAUUGUCAUGUGAAUUGUUUUUAGACAUUGAAGCCUGUCUUUCAUUUCAAUGAUAAGCGUAAAAACCCACAUUCUUUCUGGCCUGAAGAAUUGGAAAACAGUUUGAGGGAUCCACAGACUCUUGAAAUUGAAGGGAGAAUCCAAUUCUGCGUAAAAUUUUUGCCUGUAUCCCUACUGAUCCCUGAACGACACGUGUGGGGCAGACAGCAAAGAGGACAUGGUAAAGAAAUAAAGAAUUGAAAUGGGAUUUGAGCUGCUGCACAAGGACUUUAUAAUUGGAAACUGUAGGGGAGGAGGACAUUUCCUCUACCCACUCUGGGGAGGUCCUUCUGGCCAGGCUAUGAAUUAAAUUGACAUGAGACAGAAUAAUAGGAGAAAAUCAAACAAAGCUUUAUAACAUGUCUACAUGGGAGACACUCAGGAAAACCUAGCAACAUGCCAAAAUGGUGGAGGGUUUCAUCUUAAAUACCAGCUUCAGCUAAAGAUAAAG
Molecule: long non-coding RNA, 2080 nt
Filed under: Equus caballus (horse)
Lineage: Eukaryota; Metazoa; Chordata; Mammalia; Perissodactyla; Equidae
Description: lncRNA (ENSECAG00000057043.1)
Source: RNAcentral